RNAcentral lists this ribosomal RNA (466 nucleotides) under uncultured bacterium. RNAcentral's name for it is "partial 16S ribosomal RNA". It matches the Rfam family "Bacterial small subunit ribosomal RNA", at positions 28 to 507 of the family's 1533-position model. The record is from RNAcentral.
GAUGAACGCUGGCGGCGUGCUUAACACAUGCAAGUCGAACGGAAAGGCCCAAGCUUGCUUGGGUACUCGAGUGGCGAACGGGUGAGUAACACGUGGGUGAUCUGCCCUGCACUUCGGGAUAAGCCUGGGAAACUGGGUCUAAUACCGGAUAGGACCACAUUUUGGAUGGUGUGGUGGAAAGUUUUUCGGUGUGGGAUGAGCUCGCGGCCUAUCAGCUUGUUGGUGGGGUAAUGGCCUACCAAGGCGUCGACGGGUAGCCGGCCUGAGAGGGUGUACGGCCACAUUGGGACUGAGAUACGGCCCAGACUCCUACGGGAGGCAGCAGUGGGGAAUAUUGCACAAUGGGCGCAAGCCUGAUGCAGCGACGCCGCGUGGGGGAUGACGGCCUUCGGGUUGGAAACUCCGUUCGCUAGGGACGAAGCGUUAUGUGACGGUACCUGGAGAAGAAGCACCGGCUAACUACGUG